Molecule: non-coding RNA, 235 nt
Organism: Pelobates cultripes (western spadefoot toad)
Lineage: Eukaryota; Metazoa; Chordata; Amphibia; Anura; Pelobatidae
Source: the annotation of a GenBank genome assembly
UCCUCAACUAGUAGAUUAUCUAACUCUUCAAUUUGUCCUGGGGGCCUAUAAAUCACACCUACACGAGUUACUGUGUGAUUACCAAAUUCUAACGUAGCCCAAACGGACUCUGUUUGCCUCACUAACUUUUAUUAGGCUAGAUUUUAUGUUAUCCUUCACAUACAAGGCCACCCCUCCCCCUUUCUUGCCUUCCCUAUCUUUCCUAUAUAAAGAGUACCCUGGUAUUGCUAUGUCC